Molecule: ribosomal RNA, 253 nt
Filed under: uncultured bacterium
Lineage: Bacteria
Description: partial 16S ribosomal RNA
Rfam family: Bacterial small subunit ribosomal RNA
Source: RNAcentral
GACGAGCCACACAAACGUUAUUCGGAAUUACUGGGCUUACAGGGUGCGUAGGCUGUGCAGCAAGUGGGGUGUGAAAUCCAACGGCUUAACCGUUGAACUGCGCUCCAAACUGCUGUGCUCGAGGGAGAUAGAGGUAAGCGGAACUUACGGUGGAGCGGUGAAAUGCGUUGAUAUCGUAAGGAACACCGGUGGCGAAAGCGGCUUACUGGAUCUCUUCUGACGCUGAGGCACGAAAGCUAGGGUAGCGAACGGG